Molecule: ribosomal RNA, 439 nt
Filed under: uncultured bacterium
Lineage: Bacteria
Description: partial 16S ribosomal RNA
Rfam family: Bacterial small subunit ribosomal RNA
Source: RNAcentral
CUACGGGCGGCUGCAGUGGGGAAUAUUGCACAAUGGAGGAAGCUCUGAUGCAGCAACGCCGCGUGGAGGAUGACACUUUUCGGAGCGUAAACUCCUUUUAUAUAGGAAGAAGAUGACGGUACUAUAUGAAUAAGCGCCGGCUAACGCCGUGCCAGCAGCCGCGGUAAUACGGAGGGCGCAAGCGUUACUCGGAAUCACUGGGCGUAAAGAGCGUGUAGGCGGAUUAAAAAGUCAGAAGUGAAAUCCUAUAGCUUAACUAUAGAACUGCUUCUGAAACUCUUAAUCUAGAAUAUGGGAGAGGUAGAUGGAAUUUCUGGUGUAGGGGUAAAAUCCGUAGAGAUCAGAAGGAAUACCGAUUGCGAAGGCGAUCUACUAGAACAUUAUUGACGCUGAGACGCGAAAGCGUGGGGAGCAAACAGGAUUAGAUACCCUAGUAGUC